GACAUUUCAAGAUUUCUCUCCUCAGUCAUGGAUUAAAGAACAGAAAUUCACUACGUAAUUGCCACAAUAGUCCAGGCUUUCCCGAGUCUUGCUGUGCUAUACUCUCCUGUUUGAACAGAUAUUUGACCAUAAAAAAAUAAAACUGGUUCUUGUAAUUUCCUGCGACAGUCAGAUAUCUCUACUAGAGGAAUCUACUGCUGUGAAUACUUCUAAAGAGGUCUCACACUCAAGAAAGGUUUUAUAGUUCUGCAAGAGAUUUUGAAUCUUUUGGCCAAGCUUAAAAAGACGGCAAAAAGCUGAAAAGAGAAGCGAAGUUGCUACAGGAAAAGGUGGAGAUGAAUGUGAUGUCCAAGAAAGCUCCCAAGUUGCAGCUGCAAUUGGCGAUAUUAAUGCUGCAGAACAUGAAUUUGUUUUCUGUCUGUCAGGCAUUAAUGGUUUGAUGCAGUUAAAAGUGAUGCAUUCGUAAGUAUAGCAAAAUUCCUG
Long non-coding RNA from Uloborus diversus, 483 nucleotides. RefSeq lists it as uncharacterized. The record is from RefSeq and is a predicted model, not a curated record. The transcript is spliced from 3 exons. Lineage: Eukaryota; Metazoa; Arthropoda; Arachnida; Araneae; Uloboridae.